Molecule: long non-coding RNA, 4112 nt
Organism: Gallus gallus (chicken)
Lineage: Eukaryota; Metazoa; Chordata; Aves; Galliformes; Phasianidae
Exons: 4
Source: RefSeq, a predicted model, not a curated record
GGCAGGAGCAGCAUGGCGGCCUGGGCAGGUCCCUUGGGGUGGGCACAGGGCAACAGAUGGGCAGCAGCUGCCUCUGGGGAGGGGACUGGCCCAGGGCACUGCUCCUCACCUCUGCAGAAAGCACUGGCCAGUCCAGGGGCUUGUUCUUACAUAGAAUCAUUAAGGUUGCAAAUUAGGUGUGAGCCCUAAAUGCAUUUUCUUUUUCUGCUUAAAUGUCGUGAGCCUGGAUGGUUGUGUCUUACUGCAUUAAGGUACGUGUGUCAAUGAUGUCGGCUCUGAACUGUCAGCUCAGGCAGCUGGGCUCAGUGGUGUUGUGGGGCCCUUCCCAUUGAACUGGUGAUUCUGUAGUAAGUUAAUUGCAGGUCUUCUGCUCCUGAAUGCCUUUGCUCAUAAAGCAAGAAAUGCCAUCAAAGUCUUAACUUUCAUCGGGAGAGAAGGUACCUUAUUUCCUCCUGCAAAUUAAAGAAUAAGACAAUUUCAUAUGAGAGUGUUCUGAAAGCAAAAAGGAAAAAAAAUCCUAACUGUUCAGAACUUUUGGAUCUGGUGAUAGUGCAGCUGACUCCCAUGCAGAAUAACUGCAUUGUGGUUACCAGACCGUCCAGCUCAAGUCACUUUGUGUAACUGUCCUAUUGCUUUUGUAGGUGUUUUCACAACAGUGGAAAACCGCAUUGUGUAAAGGAACAGUAAGCCAUGUGGGUAAAUGCGAACAGCAGUUUAAACGUGCAGGUAUGUCUUUUGUCAGCCAAGGAAGAAUCCGUAAUGGGAUCUCAGUGGAAGACAUGAGAAAAUCUGCAGCUCGAGGACUUGUGUCCAUUCCACUCAGAGGAUCUCCUCUCUGGGCCUGCCUUAGUGCUCACUUGAAGUUCAGGAGGAAUCAGUUCUUGCCGUGCAUUUAUACCUGCACAAGGAAUUGAGCACAAUUUCUGUGCUGGUUAUUGCAGUGUUUUGUUUCUUUUUGGAAAUAUACCCAGUCCUUACUCAGAUAUCUUUGCAUGCUGCUCUGGUAACUUUUCCUGAAGAUGAAACGCUGUUGGGGCUUCAGCUGCACAGCGCUGUGCUCCAUGCUGGCUUUCCAUGGCCGAGCAGCCUGGCUGAAUCCCAUUCCUACUACCAGGCCUGAUUUUGUGGUGCUGCUGAUCUUGCAUCCAUCCUGUCCCAUUUAGCUGAAUUUUUUAUUUCCUUGCUGUUGUGCAUGGUUAGGAGGCGUCCAUUUGCACACACUGUGAUUCACUUUUCUAUUGCCUUCCAUUGUGUAACACAAUAUGAGCGUGAAAGACUCUCUUCUGGUGUCAAUCUGGAGAAGACCCGUUUCAUGUUGUGAUGCACAGUCCUGGGGCUUGUGUGUGUUGUUAUGAAGAUGGCAAACCGCUCCUCACAGCCUCGCAGAAGGCCUGCUGGCUUCAAUUAUGUGUUGUAACUCGUUGACUACCCUAUGUAAAUCAUAAUGCAACUUAUAUUGGCUUUUAUUGCAUGUUGUAACGUGAUGAUAGGCCCUUUUCAUGUGGUGCCUUUUGGCUUUUUUAACAAACCAAAAUGUAACAGCCCACCUUCUUAUAUUCUAAUGUAAUGAACUCUUUCCACAGCUCUGUCUGAUGCCUCUUGGCUUCUCUGAGAGAUCCUAUUCCUAAUUUAAUGAGUUCCUCUUCACAUCAUAAUGUAAUUAAUACUGCCUUUUACAGCAUAUCCUCACACAUCAGUGCCAAAUCUUCCCUAGCAAAGCUAUAGUUUUUUCUCAUCUUCAAAUGACUUUCCUUACUUUCAGUUUGUGACCAUUGCCUCCCAUACUGUCACUGGGCACCCGUGAGAAGAGCCUUUUCUUGACUCCUCCUCUUCCCCAUCAGGAAAGGAGCAUUUCCUUGUCUGCCCUGGUAAAUGGUUCUCCUACAGCCCCACGUGACGUGUCCUGUCUGCCAGCCAAGGAGGGCUGGCUGUGACAGCUUCAUGGCCCCUCAGCUCUGCUCCUCACAAUGAGCGUGAGCCCUGACAAGUCUGGAGGUCCAGCGGUGUCCAGCUGACUUGUGUGCUCUCUGGCAGUUGGGAACCAGCGCAGCGUCUGCCUGCAGCGUUUCCAGUGGUUGGAGGAGGACGAAAAGUGCACAGCCUCUGUUGCAUGAAGGUGAGAGUUGGAAUUCUGCAGAAUUUGUCCAGAUUCUGUGCUGACUUCUCGAGAAAGCAGUGAGGAAGAAGAUUAAUUGAAAUCUGUCUCAUUCGGGGUCCAAGAGUUGUGGUAGCGAAACCUUCCUUCUGCAUCCUUCUUUCUGUCAGUGCUCUCAGCAUUGCUUUGGGAGAGCGUUCUGAGCUCGCUGAAUGUGAGGCUCUUCCUUUUCACUGAUCCACUCCAUAAGCAACCUGUGUUGUGAUUCAUUCAUUGAGGAUAUGGAUGUAGCAAAGCCUUACUAAUGUUCCAGAACUGUGUUUUGGAUACUGUGAGGGCUUCAGGAGUAUUGGAAAGCUUUUGAAAUCUUCAGGGCUUGCAUUAUAAGCCUUCAAAAUGUAGAAAGCCCAGUUGGGUCAGCUGUGCAGGGUACCAGGGCAGAGUGGAGAGCUGAUGACAUAAUCCAGAUAAAGCAAAAACACCCAACCUGCUGUCCAUACAUAAAGGUAUGAGAGUCUACUUGGCCGAUUCCCCUUGAAAAGCCUGCAGCUGUUUCCAUACCGACUCCCACCCACCCACCCACCUGUGAGUCCAGUGUCACCUCAGCCAGGGGAGCUUGCGUGCACACAGAAUGGAAGUGGAAGACGAGCCCCUUUUAUUUUAACAACCCUUCCGACCUUUAACAAAAAUAAAAUGGAGAUGGCAGUUGUUUUUCUGUCUUUAAAGACAAAAACCUUUUUUGCACAUCUUUUGGCUUGAUGACGGGAGCAGGUGUUCUCCCACAGAUACGGCUCUGUGCUGGGACCACUGCUGGCUGGUCUGGUGUGUGAAGGGUUGGUAAAUGCCCGAUGGGGAGCAAAGGUACUGGAAAGGAGUGGGCUGUUAAAUCUCGCUGGUACUGAACAAAUGUAAUAGCUGUGUUCAGUGUAAUUCAUAGCACAUAGGGGGAAUUCAGAAGGUAUUGUAUUUGUAGCUCUUAACGAACAGUUGAUUUCCUGACAUGAGUAAAUCUGUUAAAAAGCUGGGUAUGUAGCAAGCAGAUACAAAUGUCAUGGCAUAGAUUCUGUAUUGGCUGACGUGCAGGGAAGAGAGUAAUAGCAAUGCAGAGACCUCCGAGUAUGAAAUCCUAUAAAGCAUUUUUUUGGAGACAUCAGUGCUGGGGCCCAAUUUGUUGUGCCUUUUAUGUAAAACAUUUCUGCAGUUCCAUUUGUGACCCUAAACCAGGCUUUGUCAAGUCAGACCUGCGGAAUAUGGGAUGGAAGUCUUCAUUUUUAAAGCCCCGAUGAAAGACACUGAAUAACCACAAUGUGAAUGUCCUCUGCUGUUCUUACCACCAAACGCUUUGGUCCUGGACCUACUCACCGAGCUACUGAAGCGAUGUUCAAAUGGAAACAGUGAUAUGCUGGUAGUGUCCCCAUCAUGGAGGAGCACAAAGGGGUGGUCAAGGGAUAGGAGAAGAAAGGAAGAAUGUCCUUUGUUUCUUCCCUCUGGGACCUUCAAGAGCUGUUGAUAAACAUAAAGAUAGAAAAUACACACAUAAAGAUAGUAGUUCUAAGGGUUGGAAAAGAUAAUGUGAGGCACCCAAGGUUUUUCCCAGGUCAGAAAGCUUUGGAACUGUCCCAGAGUUCAGUUUCUGUGAUCUUCAUUUUGCUGAGCAGUUCAUGGCAGCAGAGAGGACUCGUUGGUGUCCGGACAAAGAGGGAAGAGGAAACCAAGCUGUAAAGAUGUGUGGAAAAGCAAGGAAUUAAUUACUGCUUGCACUGGUUGUUUGUCGCCUUACUGCCCUUCUUGCCUCCCUGGAGCCCAGCUGACUUCCUGGGAUUGCUGAACGGCUGCCUUUUGCCACCUCCUGCCUGUCGCAUCGAACACCAGGGCGAAUUGGCUCUACAUGUAACACUACAACAAACGUGACAGGCGAAGACCCAUCCCUGCGGAGCGGCACUACUCCCUCCACGUUCUCCAGAACCAUCGGCGCAACCUGGGCCUGGUGGGCGGCACAUCUUCCAGUACGCUGAGG